This 351-nucleotide ribosomal RNA is filed under the name uncultured bacterium. Its description in RNAcentral is "partial 16S ribosomal RNA". It matches the Rfam family "Bacterial small subunit ribosomal RNA", at positions 338 to 706 of the family's 1533-position model. The record is from RNAcentral.
CCUACGGGUGGCAGCAGUGGGGAAUAUUGCACAAUGGGGGAAACCCUGAUGCAGCGACGCCGCGUGAGUGAAGAAGUAAUUCGUUAUGUACAGCUCUAUCAGCAGGGAAGAAAAUGACGGUAACUGAGUAAGAAGCCCCGGCUAACUACGUGCCAGCAGCCGCGGUAAGACGUAGGGGGCAAGCGUUAUCCGGAUGUACUGGGUGUAAAGGGAGCGUAGUCGGCAGUGCAAGUCUGGAGUGAAGGGCGGGGGCUCAACCCCCGGACUGCUUUGGAAACUGUGCGGCUGGAGUGCGGAAGGGGUAAGUGGAAUUGCUAGUGUAGAGGUGAAAUGCGUAGAUAUUAGGAGGAA